AACCAGACUCCUACGGGAGGCAGCAGUCGGGAAUAUUGCGCAAUGGAGGAAACUCUGACGCAGUGACGCCGCGUAUAGGAAGAAGGUUUUCGGAUUGUAAACUAUUGUCGUGAGGGAAGAAAUUGACAGUACCUCAGGAGGAAGCUCCGGCUAACUAUGUGCCAGCAGCCGCGGUAAUACGUAUGGUGCAAGCGUUAUCCGGAUUUACUGGGUGUAAAGGGAGCGUAGGCGGCGCGUUAAGUCUGAUGUGAAAACCCGAGGCUCAACCACGGGAGUGCAUUGGAAACUGGCGGGCUGGAGUGCCGGAGAGGUAAGCGGAAUUCCUAGUGUAGCGGUGAAAUGCGUAGAUAUUAGGAGGAACACCAGUGGCGAAGGCGGCUUACUGGACGGCAACUGACGCUGAGGCUCGAAAGCGUGGGGAGCAAACAGGAUUAGAUACCCGAGUAGUC
RNAcentral lists this ribosomal RNA (449 nucleotides) under uncultured bacterium. Its description in RNAcentral is "bacterial SSU rRNA". It matches the Rfam family "Bacterial small subunit ribosomal RNA", at positions 329 to 795 of the family's 1533-position model. The record is from RNAcentral.